AGUGGGGGGUGGGGGGACUCUCAGCCUGGAUUGUGAGAAGGCGCAGGUCAGGCUGAGGUACCCCACCAUGCACG
Molecule: microRNA precursor, 74 nt
Filed under: Myotis davidii
Lineage: Eukaryota; Metazoa; Chordata; Mammalia; Chiroptera; Vespertilionidae
Description: mir-9193 microRNA precursor family
Rfam family: mir-9193 microRNA precursor family
Source: Rfam by way of RNAcentral